Molecule: ribosomal RNA, 253 nt
Filed under: uncultured bacterium
Lineage: Bacteria
Description: partial 16S ribosomal RNA
Rfam family: Bacterial small subunit ribosomal RNA
Source: RNAcentral
UACGAAGGGGGCUAGCGUUGUUCGGAAUUACUGGGCGUAAAGCGCACGUAGGCGGACAUUUAAGUCAGGGGUGAAAUCCCGGAGCUCAACUCCGGAACUGCCUUUGAUACUGGGUGUCUUGAGUGUGGAAGAGGUGAGUGGAAUUCCGAGUGUAGAGGUGAUAUUCGUAGAUAUUCGGAGGAACACCAGUGGCGAAGGCGGCUCACUGGUCCAUUACUGACGCUGAGGUGCGAAAGCGUGGGGAGCAAACAGG